This 500-nucleotide ribosomal RNA is filed under the name uncultured bacterium. RNAcentral describes it as "partial 16S ribosomal RNA". It matches the Rfam family "Bacterial small subunit ribosomal RNA", at positions 30 to 523 of the family's 1533-position model. The record is from RNAcentral.
AUUGAACGCUGGCGGCAUGCCUUACACAUGCAAGUCGAACGGCAGCACGGGAGCAAUCCUGGUGGCGAGUGGCGAACGGGUGAGUAAUAUAUCGGAACGUGCCCAGUCGUGGGGGAUAACGCAGCGAAAGCUGUGCUAAUACCGCAUACGAUCUACGGAUGAAAGCGGGGGAUCGCAAGACCUCGCGCGAUUGGAGCGGCCGAUAUCAGAUUGGCUAGUUGGGGAGGUAAAGGCUCACCAAGGCGACGAUCUGUAGCUGGUCUGAGAGGCAGACCAGCCACACUGGAAGUGGGGUACGGUCCAGACUCCUACGGGAGGCAGCAGUGGGGAAUUUUGGACAAUGGGCGAAAGCCUGAUCCAGCAAUGCCGCGUGCAGGAUGAAGGCCUUCGGGUUGUAAACUGCUUUUGUACGGAACGAAACGGUGAGCUCUAAUACAGUUUGCUAAUGACGGUACCGUAAGAAUAAGCACCGGCUAACUACGUGCCAGCCGCCGCCGUAA